GAUGAACGCUGGCGGCGUGCUUAACACAUGCAAGUCGAACGAUGAAGGAGGAGCUUGCUCCUCCGGAUUAGUGGCGAACGGGUGAGUAACACGUGAGCAAUCUGCCCCUGACUCUGGGAUAAGCGUUGGAAACGACGUCUAAUACCGGAUACGAGCUGAGAAGGCAUCUUCAGCAGCUGGAAAGAACUUCGGUCAGGGAUGAGCUCGCGGCCUAUCAGGUAGUUGGUGAGGUAACGGCUCACCAAGCCUACGACGGGUAGCCGGCCUGAGAGGGUGACCGGCCACACUGGGACUGAGACACGGCCCAGACUCCUACGGGAGGCAGCAGUGGGGAAUAUUGCACAAUGGGCGCAAGCCUGAUGCAGCGACGCCGCGUGGGGGAUGAAGGCCUUCGGGUUGUAAACUCCUUUCGCCAUUGACGAAGCCCUUUGGGGUGACGGUAGGUGGAGAAGAAGCACCGGCUAACUACGUGCCAG
This 476-nucleotide ribosomal RNA is filed under the name uncultured bacterium. RNAcentral's name for it is "bacterial SSU rRNA". It matches the Rfam family "Bacterial small subunit ribosomal RNA", at positions 28 to 511 of the family's 1533-position model. The record is from RNAcentral.